Molecule: RNA transcript, 958 nt
Organism: Solanum tuberosum (potato)
Lineage: Eukaryota; Viridiplantae; Streptophyta; Magnoliopsida; Solanales; Solanaceae
Exons: 2
Source: RefSeq, a predicted model, not a curated record
UUUCUAAUGGAACUAUUGUUUUCCAUGUUGGCAGCAAAGAGGGGAAAAUAGAAGGUUGAAUGAAUAGAUAAGUCAGGAAAAAAGGAAAAAAGGAAAUAUUUGCUUUGUAGCUUCUAAUAUUUUUCAUAUAUAAUUGACUCUUGUUUUUUUGUUCAACUCAAGUCUCUCUCUAUGGUUUUGUAUGAAAAGAUGAAAGGUUUUGCUUAGCACCAAAAGAGUUAAAACAUAUGAGUUAUUUCUUAUGAUUAUUGGCUCUACCAUCUCACAAAAUUUAGUGGAUUGUCACAAAGAUUGAUGGGAAAGAAGAAAGUUGUGAAGAAAACUAAGGAGUUAUCAGUAGCAAUAGCAGAAUCAUCAGCAAUGAGUGGAGAUUCACAACAACAAAUUACUCCAAGAAAAAGAGGAAGACCAAGAAAGAUUAUUAGUAUUGUUAAAGAUGGUGAAGAAGAAGUUUCUGCUGAAUUAAAGAAACUCAAAACAAAUGAAGUUGAAGAAUCACAAGGAGAAAACAAAAAAGAAGAUGUAUUUGAAGAGGAAAAAAAUUUACAACCACAAAAGCAACAACAACAACCUACAAGGAGCAGAGCUAGAAGAAAAAGCAAACCAAGAAAGAGUUGCUAAUUUAAUUUUUUCGAUCAACAGUAUUCCCACUUAUCCUCCAACGUGACUUGUAUCGAUUGAUGGUAGUGGAUGUGCUAAACCACUUGAGCUACUAAAAAUCAAGUUUCAAGAAUCCCCCUUUUUCUUUUAGGUAAUUUUUGAAACAAAGUAAAUUUAAUUUCAUCUACUGGUUUUUGUUACUUUCCUAGUUUAAUUCUUAGUGCUAUUAGUUUUUUAUUUUGGUGUUUAGUAUGCCUAUUUUAAUUGUGAGAAACAUUUUAGUUAGGGAGGAAUUGGUUAUUAGCUUUACACUCUGGAUUGAAUUGUGAUAUGACAUGUUAAUGACUUUUUGUGUUAA